CCUACGGGUGGCAGCAGUGAGGAAUAUUGGUCAAUGGGCGAGAGCCUGAACCAGCCAAGUCGCGUGAAGGAUGACGGCCCUACGGGUUGUAAACUUCUUUUGUCAGGGAGCAAUUGGGUCCACGCGUGGGCUUAGCGAGAGUACCUGAAGAAAAAGCAUCGGCAAACUCCGUGCCAGCAGCCGCGGUAAUACGGGGUAUGCGAGGGUUAUCCGGAUUUUUUGGGUUUAAAGGGUGCGUAGGGGGAAUUUCAAGCCAGCGGUAAAAAUUCGGGGCUCAACCCCGUCGGGCCGUUGAAACUGACGUUCUUGAGUGGGCGAGAAGUAUGCGGAAUGCGUGGUGUAGCGGUGAAAUGCAUAGAUAUCACGCAGAACUCCGAUUGCGAAGGCAGCAUACCGGCGCCACACUGACGCUGAAGCACGAAAGCGUGGGUAUCGAACAGGAUUAGAUACCCGUGUAGUC
This 460-nucleotide ribosomal RNA is filed under the name uncultured bacterium. RNAcentral's name for it is "partial 16S ribosomal RNA". It matches the Rfam family "Bacterial small subunit ribosomal RNA", at positions 338 to 795 of the family's 1533-position model. The record is from RNAcentral.